GUAGGGUCCAAGCGUUAAUCGGAAUUACUGGGCGUAAAGCGUGCGCAGGCGGUUGUGCAAGACCGAUGUGAAAUCCCCGGGCUUAACCUGGGAAUUGCAUUGGUGACUGCACGGCUAGAGUGUGUCAGAGGGGGGUAGAAUUCCACGUGUAGCAGUGAAAUGCGUAGAGAUGUGGAGGAAUACCGAUGGCGAAGGCAGCCCCCUGGGAUAACACUGACGCUCAUGCACGAAAGCGUGGGGGGAGCAGACAGGAUUAGAUACCCUGGUAGUCCACGCCCCUAAACGAUGUCAACUAGUUGUUGGGGGUUCAUUUCCUUAGUAACGUAGCUAACGCGUGAAGUUGACCGCCUGGGGAUACGGUCGCAAGAUUA
RNAcentral lists this ribosomal RNA (371 nucleotides) under uncultured organism. RNAcentral's name for it is "partial 16S ribosomal RNA". It matches the Rfam family "Bacterial small subunit ribosomal RNA", at positions 527 to 896 of the family's 1533-position model. The record is from RNAcentral.